Molecule: ribosomal RNA, 301 nt
Filed under: uncultured bacterium
Lineage: Bacteria
Description: partial 16S ribosomal RNA
Rfam family: Bacterial small subunit ribosomal RNA
Source: RNAcentral
CAGUAGCCGCGGGAAUACGGAGGGGGCUAGCGUUGUUCGGAAUUACUGGGCGUAAGGCGCACGUAGGCUGCUUUGUAAGUCAGAGGUGAAAGCCCGGGGCUCAACCCCGGAUGUGCCUUUGAGACUGCAGGGCUAGAACGUCGGAGAGGUGAGUGGAAUUCCGAGUGUAGAGGUGAAAUUCGUAGAUAUUCGGAAGAACACCAGUGGCGAAGGCGGCUCACUGGACGACUGUUGACGCUGAGGUGCGAAAGCGUGGGGAGCAAACAGGAUUAGAUACCCCUGUAGUCCCUGUCUCUUAUAA